Long non-coding RNA from Nerophis ophidion (straightnose pipefish), 1441 nucleotides. RefSeq lists it as uncharacterized. The transcript has 2 exons. The record is from RefSeq and is a predicted model, not a curated record. NCBI's taxonomy places the organism in Eukaryota, Metazoa, Chordata, Actinopteri, Syngnathiformes, Syngnathidae.
UGCAAAUCGUUGUAUUCCGCUUAUAUUUACAUCUAACACAAUUUCCCAACUCAUAUGGAAACGAGGUUUGUAUUUGAUACUUAUGGAGAGGGGGGGUGCUUUCAUUUGCAGUUUAGGAGGCCUCCACCCACAACAUGUGAGCAACAUUUACAGCAAAGCACAGCUACACAAGCAAGGGAACGACAUGUAGAUGAAAAUGAUCACUUUUCUUUCCAGUCUCUAUUGAAUGAGAUGGAUUGAACAGGUGUAGCUAAUGUUGAUAUAAAUAUAUUUAAAGCGUAACUGAACAUUGUUCUGCGGACACAUCCCAGUGCGGGAGCUGACCUUUCAAAGCCAGUCCUUUCUGUACAAGCAGGUAUGUGCUGAACAUGACAAUUAUUAGUUAAAAGUUACUUGAACUUAUUAGGUGUUACACAUGGCAGACUUGUCUUCAUGUUGUGUAUGUGACUGUGUGUGGUUGUGUUAGGUGCAUCGAAUGAGCGGUGCUCUGGUGGCCGUGGGCUAGGGGAGACUGUCUCUUCCCAAACUGAAAGAGAUGAUGGAUGCACGCCGCUCUUUGGCAUAUCCUUCCAACAGGACUGCUCCACCUCAGGGCCUCUUCCUCACCAGGGUCAACUACAAAGAGUGCGAUCUCCUCCCGUUCACUCAUCCUUCCACAGGAGUCUCAGAUGAGAACCAAUGUCAUUCCCACUUUAUUGGUUAAUACUGCAUGUGUUUUAGGACAAGUUUCAUUGCUACUAAAAGCAUACACCAGUGCAUCCUAGCUAAAAGUACAGGUGCAAAACAAGGAGUGUAACACUAGCAAAGGUUUGUCUAGCAUGAAGAAAGUUGUUGACAAAGUAUACAUGCCAAUAAAACUGCAUCACCUAAAAGGAGUUGACAGAUAAUCCUGCUAGAAUAAAAGCAGACCACCACCAUGGUCACAUGAGGUUUGUUGAAGGUUCUCCCUUAAGUCCCCAGUUAGGAAACACUCACCCACUUUGAACAAUUGAUGUCUUAUUUUGCACUUCUCAGAAGUGACCGUAUGGAUAUAUCAAUCCCACUUUGAGUCAUUUCAAAGGCCGACACCUCACCUUUUGUCACGACCGUGUGGUACAUCCCUCACGAGAAUUCCUUAUUAUUGAAAAGACCAAGUCCUAUUCAGCCCCACAUUUCAGAUCACAAAGAAGAAAAAUCAUAAGUAUAAAUAAAGCACUUUAGUGGUGUAUUUAUCUCUCACAAUGGUCAAGAAGUGUGUCGUUUUUGCGUGAAUUAGAAAAGUCCAACCCUGGUUGAGGAGAGAAAACAAAUCAGACCUGAAUGCUCCAAAGCUUCAUGUGCAGAAUGUUUCAAAGCUAAAAGUUAGCACAAAGUGAUGGAGACAGAAAUGUGAUCUCUAUCGGCAGCCUUGGUGACACCCUGAAUCUGGUGUGGUGUGAGCACGGGUGUACCAGCAGCAGGA